UACGGAGGAUGCAAGCGUUAUCCGGAAUGAUUGAGCGUAAAGCGUCUGUAGGUCGUUUCCUAAGUCUCCUGUCAAAGAUCAAGGCUUAACCUUGAAAAGGCAGUGGAAACUGGGAGGCUUGAGUACGGUAGAGGCGGAGGGAAUUCCCGGUGUAGCGGUGAAAUGCGUAGAGAUCGGGAAGAACACCAAAGGCGAAAGCACUCUGCUGGGCCGAAACUGACACUGAGAGACGAAAGCGAGGGGAGCAAAUGGG
This 253-nucleotide ribosomal RNA is filed under the name uncultured bacterium. RNAcentral describes it as "partial 16S ribosomal RNA". It matches the Rfam family "Bacterial small subunit ribosomal RNA", at positions 524 to 776 of the family's 1533-position model. The record is from RNAcentral.